RNAcentral lists this ribosomal RNA (253 nucleotides) under uncultured bacterium. RNAcentral describes it as "partial 16S ribosomal RNA". It matches the Rfam family "Bacterial small subunit ribosomal RNA", at positions 524 to 776 of the family's 1533-position model. The record is from RNAcentral.
UACAGAGGGUGCGAGCGUUAAUCGGGAUUACUGGGCGUAAAGCGCGCGUAGGCGGUUCGUUAAGUCAAAUGUGAAAUCCCCGAGCUUAACUUGGGAAUUGCAUUCGAUACUGGCGAGCUAGAGUAUGGGAGAGGAAGGUAGAAUUCCACGUGUAGCAGUGAAAUGCGUAGAGAUGUGGAGGAACACCGAUGGCGAAGGCAAUCCCCUGGACCUGUACUGACGCUCAUGCACGAAAGCGUGGGGAGCAAACAGG